This 735-nucleotide long non-coding RNA is filed under the name Heterocephalus glaber (naked mole-rat). Its description in RNAcentral is "lncRNA (ENSHGLG00000038604.1)". Lineage: Eukaryota; Metazoa; Chordata; Mammalia; Rodentia; Bathyergidae. The record is from RNAcentral.
CCAUUGUUGGCGGGCCCUUGUGGGCUCCCAGCGCAAUCUGUCUGUUUUGGGUGCUCCUCACCCCGUCGGUCUCCGCAGGCAGCGUCGCUGAGGGCUUCCACGUGGCAGCCCGCAGACAGCAGAACUCCAGCCCUUCGGGAGGCCUUUCCCACGCCAGGCCCCGAGCUGACAUUACGUGGUCCACAGCACAGCGAGCACGUAUGUUCUCAUCAGUCACGUGUGUGUGGAAACCGAGUGCAGGCACUUUCUCAAUGGAGGGUUUUUACCUGGACAGACUUGAAACUUGCGGGGAAGACCAGGGCUCUCUGCUGACCUCUGAGCAGAGGGGGCUCGGAAGGACAGCGAAAUGGAAGGCACUUUUGAAGAAUCCCAUCACACACACAAGCUGGAUUGAGCGCAUUAACGUUGCAGCCCUCAGCUGCCCCCAGAUUCCAGGGACAGGGGCAGGGGACAGUCAGGAAAGUUGCUGCCCGCUGUGGCCCCUGGAGGGACAGCCAGGACCCGGUGGAGGCAUCCAGCUCCAGAGCUCACCUGGGACUCUGAUCCUGGGUGGCAGGACUCCAGCCUUCUCCGUCCCUGUCCCUUCCUGGCCUGCUGUCUUGGACAGAGGUGGCAGGGCUGGGCUCCCUCCAGGGGGCAGAAGGACAGGGGCUCAGCCCGUACCCAGGCGUCGGGGCCCCGGUGGCCUUGGCCGGGCUUCUGGAAAUCUCUCCCGGGAGCAGCACUCCUCCUCAC